CUCUCGCGAGAUAGGACGGCCCGCCGCCUAUCUACUCUCGACCAUAGAGUUCGGCAGCGCCGCGGCGAGAGCGUCGCCACGUUCGUGCGCGUUUGAGUGGUGGAGCGUCACGUGGCCUGCGGGAAGUCAUGGCUCCACGCGACACGCGUAGGCUGACCCCCCCCCCCCCCCCAAGUGCGGCAGCUGCAACAGCUACGCAAUCUCCGCAGCCGGCCCCUGCUGGUCUCUCUCUAGACUACGGAAAUGACGUAGGCCCGCCCCUCUUCUCUGCUCGCUGCCUGGCGCUGAUUGGCUCGGCCCUCCCCUCGCUCUCUCCGCCUGCCGACGGUCGGCUCGCGCCGUGUGAGCGCGGGAACGUGAGAGGGCGCGCGGGAGGGACGGGAGAGCGGCGGGACAGCCCGGGCCGGCAGCCCGCAGAGUUACGUGUGCUGCGGCCGGCGGGUGUACCGAGCGGACGUUGAGCAGUUUGCACCGAGAUAGUCUCAGUAGCGCUUGGGAUCGCGGAGUCAGUCAGUAUCCGGGGAACAGACAGCACCACCGCGCGGGAGAGUCGAGCAUCCCUGAGAACUCAGUGCCAUUUCUGAAGCUUGGCCUCUGCGGGAUCUUCGGCUUUAUUCAAAUUGCUUUCUGCUAAGACCCAAAAAUUCCAGAGCGUUGCCGGCCUUGAGCUUAUCCUGUAAAAACAAAACACUGUGUAUGUUUGUGUGCGCUCGCUCGGACGGGUGGGCAGAUGUCUGUGUCCCAAGGCUUUUAGCCGUGCUCUACAGCACCCUCGUGAGCUGUGGUAGGAGAACAGUGCCUCUUUCAGCCCUUGCACAAAUCGUGCUUUUUUUUUUUUUUUUUUCUUUCUUCAGGUCUAAAA
Tympanuchus pallidicinctus (lesser prairie-chicken) is the source of this 862-nucleotide long non-coding RNA. RefSeq lists it as uncharacterized. The transcript is spliced from 2 exons. NCBI's taxonomy places the organism in Eukaryota, Metazoa, Chordata, Aves, Galliformes, Phasianidae. The record is from RefSeq and is a predicted model, not a curated record.